GACGAACGCUGGCGGCGUGCCUAACACAUGCAAGUCGAACGGAAAGGCCCUGCUUUUGUGGGGUGCUCGAGUGGCGAACGGGUGAGUAACACGUGUGUAACCUGUCCUUGACUUUGGGAUAACUUCAGGAAACUGGGGCUAAUAUCGGAUAGGAGCUCUUGCUGCAUGGUGGGGGUUGGAAAGUUUCGGCGGUUGGGGAUGGACUCGCGGCUUAUCAGCUUGUUGGUGGGGUAGUGGCUUACCAAGGCUUUGAGGGGUAGCCGGCCUGGGCGGGUAGCCGGACACAUUAGGACUGCGAUACGGCCCAGACUCGUACGGGACGCAGCGGUGGAGAGUAUUACACAAUGGGCGGAAGCCAGAUGCGGCAGCGCCGCGUGCGGGAUGACGGGCUUCGGGUUGUGAACCACUUUCGCCUGUGACGAGGCGUGAGUGACGGUAAUGGGUAAAGAAGCCCCGGCUAACUACGUG
RNAcentral lists this ribosomal RNA (468 nucleotides) under uncultured bacterium. RNAcentral's name for it is "partial 16S ribosomal RNA". It matches the Rfam family "Bacterial small subunit ribosomal RNA", at positions 28 to 507 of the family's 1533-position model. The record is from RNAcentral.